GACGAACGCUGGCGGCGUGCCUAAUACAUGCAAGUCGAGCGGACGGAUGGGAGCUUGCUCCCAGACCGUCAGCGGCGGACGGGUGAGUAACACGUGGGCAACCUGCCUGUAAGACUGGGAUAACUCCGGGAAACCGGGGCUAAUACCGGAUAACUCUUUCCCUCACAUGAGGGAAAGCUGAAAGAUGGCAUCUCGCUAUCACUUACAGAUGGGCCCGCGGCGCAUUAGCUAGUUGGUGAGGUAACGGCUCAUCAAGGCGACGAUGCGUAGCCGACCUGAGAGGGUGAUCGGCCACACUGGGACUGAGACACGGCCCAGACUCCUACGGGAGGCAGCAGUAGGGAAUCUUCCGCAAUGGACGAAAGUCUGACGGAGCAACGCCGCGUGGGUGAUGAAGGUUUUCGGAUCGUAAAACUCUGUUGUCAGGGAAGAACAAGUACCGGAGUAACUGCCGGUACCUUGACGGUACCUGACCAGAAAGCCACGGCUAACUACGUG
RNAcentral lists this ribosomal RNA (498 nucleotides) under uncultured bacterium. RNAcentral describes it as "partial 16S ribosomal RNA". It matches the Rfam family "Bacterial small subunit ribosomal RNA", at positions 28 to 507 of the family's 1533-position model. The record is from RNAcentral.